CGGGUAGACAGACUAGCCCCGAUUGAAGUCUAGUCUAAAAAGAUACAAGGAUUAAAUUAUUAUG
Molecule: small RNA, 64 nt
Filed under: unclassified sequences
Description: DUF2815 RNA
Rfam family: DUF2815 RNA
Source: Rfam by way of RNAcentral